Long non-coding RNA from Dreissena polymorpha, 278 nucleotides. RefSeq lists it as uncharacterized. Lineage: Eukaryota; Metazoa; Mollusca; Bivalvia; Myida; Dreissenidae. The transcript is spliced from 3 exons. The record is from RefSeq and is a predicted model, not a curated record.
UUCGACGUUCCGCUUAAAUGAACGGUGCAAGUUCACUGUAAAUACAUAGUAAAAAGUCCUAUGUAAACAAUAGAGAAUUGACGUUCUGUAGUUUUCUGCUUGCAAUAGAGCCCUGCAUAUAUGACAUAUGGCUGAAGGUGGCUCAAGCAUAAACACGACACGGGAGUCAUCUGUUGAUUCAGAAGUGGUGAAACUUAAGGUGAAGCAGAAGGACUGUGAGUUGACAGUGACACAAACUGAACUGUCGUGGACAAUUAAAGACCAGAAGAAAAAUGGUA